RNAcentral lists this ribosomal RNA (210 nucleotides) under Glaesserella parasuis. RNAcentral's name for it is "partial 16S ribosomal RNA". It matches the Rfam family "Bacterial small subunit ribosomal RNA", at positions 81 to 294 of the family's 1533-position model. Lineage: Bacteria; Pseudomonadati; Pseudomonadota; Gammaproteobacteria; Pasteurellales; Pasteurellaceae. The record is from RNAcentral.
UUCUUUGCUGACGAGUGGCGGACGGGUGAGUAAUGCUUGGGAAUCUGGCUUAUGGAGGGGGAUAACUACGGGAAACUGUAGCUAAUACCGCGUAGUAUCGGGAGAUGAAAGACUGGGACCGCAAGGCCAGUUGCCAUAAGAUGAGCCCAAGUGGGAUUAGGUAGUUGGUGGGGUAAAGGCCUACCAAGCCGACGAUCUCUAGCUGGUCUG